CAGGAGCUUGGUAUCACCGCACUGCACAUUAAGCUCCGUGCCACUGGAGGCAACAAGACCAAGACACCAGGUCCUGGAGCUCAGUCUGCUCUCAGGGCUCUUGCUCGUUCUGGGAUGAAAAUUGGGCGUAUUGGUACGCCAUGCUUCUUCAAAUAUAGUGUUUGUGGAAGCACAUAUGUCCAUGUUAUUGUCUCUGCAUAUGGCUAA
RNAcentral lists this ribosomal RNA (207 nucleotides) under Triticum aestivum (bread wheat). RNAcentral's name for it is "partial small subunit ribosomal RNA". The record is from RNAcentral. Lineage: Eukaryota; Viridiplantae; Streptophyta; Magnoliopsida; Poales; Poaceae.